RNAcentral lists this long non-coding RNA (233 nucleotides) under Elaeis guineensis (African oil palm). RNAcentral's name for it is "long non-coding RNA (EGUI_LNC010448)". The record is from RNAcentral. Lineage: Eukaryota; Viridiplantae; Streptophyta; Magnoliopsida; Arecales; Arecaceae.
GGUCCUCUUGUCCAUCACGUUCUAAUAUUAUUCUCGCAGCCUGGGAUGGUGAGCCAAAAAUUUUCAAAACAGAAAGGCUUGUAUGUAAGAGACCUACCUAUAGUUUGAGGUUUGGUUACUAGUAAUAACAGGAUACGGUCUGAUGUAUGUCUGACCAAUGAUUUGAGGUAUGCCAGUGGAAACUGAUGAAGCCAGUCAAUGCUCACAAAAAAAAUGAUCCAGAGUUGCUAGAG